Ctenopharyngodon idella (grass carp) is the source of this 790-nucleotide long non-coding RNA. RefSeq lists it as uncharacterized. NCBI's taxonomy places the organism in Eukaryota, Metazoa, Chordata, Actinopteri, Cypriniformes, Xenocyprididae. The record is from RefSeq and is a predicted model, not a curated record. The transcript is spliced from 2 exons.
GGUUCAUGGAUUCACUUACUCACCCUCGUGUGUUGUUGUGUGUGUGUGUGUGUGUGUGUGUGUGUGUGUGUGUGUGUGUUGGGUGUGAGUGAAUGAUUGUGUGGGCGUCACCCAUUAUGGUCUGAUUGCGAUCUGUUGCCAGCCGUGUCUUGUUAGUGGUUGUUAUAUAUUGUGCAUGUCUUUAUGUGUCUUUGUCAGUUCGUUGCAGGCUGUUCCCGGUGUCGUGUUCUCUGUGUGUUUCUUCCUGGUUUUUGGAUUCUGGACUUUCGUCGUGUGCCCUGUUUUCUGGGUUGGAUUAUCCUUGUUCUCUGAUACCCGCUGUAGCCCUGCGCCACCCAGUGCCUCGCCACUCUGCACGCCACAGCCUCUGCCUCGACUGACCCUUGGAGUGAAGUUAUUGUACAGCAUUUUCCUGUCAAUAAAUAUUGUUAUUCUUGCACUUGGAUCCUCUGUCUGUGUUCAUUCCCUGACAGACUGUCAUCGCCCUUAAUGGACAGAAGCUACCCACCAUCACACACGCCACGGAGCCCUUAACCGUCAUCACUUCCGUUCGUUGCAGGCUGUUCCCGGUGUCGUGUUCUCUGUGUGUUUCUUCCUGGUUUUUGGAUUCUGGACUUUCGUCGUGUGCCCUGUUUUCUGGGUUGGAUUAUCCUUGUUCUCUGAUACCCGCUGUAGCCCUGCGCCACCCAGUGCCUCGCCACUCUGCACGCCACAGCCUCUGCCUCGACUGACCCUUGGAGUGAAGUUAUUGUACAGCAUUUUCCUGUCAAUAAAUAUUGUUAUUCUUGCA